Molecule: ribosomal RNA, 268 nt
Filed under: uncultured Anoxybacillus sp.
Lineage: Bacteria; Bacillati; Bacillota; Bacilli; Caryophanales; Anoxybacillaceae
Description: partial 16S ribosomal RNA
Rfam family: Bacterial small subunit ribosomal RNA
Source: RNAcentral
AGUUGCCAGCAUUCAGUUGGGCACUCUAAGGUGACUGCCGGCUAAAAGUCGGAGGAAGGUGGGGAUGACGUCAAAUCAUCAUGCCCCUUAUGACCUGGGCUACACACGUGCUACAAUGGGCGGUACAAAGGGUCGCGAACCCGCGAGGGGGAGCCAAUCCCAAAAAGCCGCUCUCAGUUCGGAUUGCAGGCUGCAACUCGCCUGCAUGAAGCCGGAAUCGCUAGUAAUCGCGGAUCAGCAUGCCGCGGUGAAUACGUUCCCGGGCCUU